GGUCUCAAAAGAUGCGCGAGACUUGAAAGUAUAAACCAAAGACCUUAUAAUAUAUUACUAGACCGAAAGCUGCGUGCGCGUUCAGCACAAAACAAAUGAGAUUAGGCUCCGCCUACCGCGAUCAUUUGAAGACAAAAAUAAGCCCUCAUUGACAUUCAUGAGCAUGAAGAUAUUCAUAAUCCGGCCUUUUCAUUGGCUAAGAGCGUCAUUAAUACGCGAUUUCCCCGAUUCUUUGUCAUCGAUACUAGUGGUAUCGUGUUACAGAAUUGAUUAUUCAUUUGACCUCAUUACGUCAUCUAAUUUAUUCAUUCUGAAACUUUUCUUUCUUCACACAAAAUGGACCUACGAACACUCCGGUGAGUACGUAUAAAUUGAUAUAACCACAUGAAUUCAGUGGACUAUUUACACAUUUCACACUGUAUUUUGUGAUCUUAGGUUAUUUCUUUAACAAAUUAGAGGGUUUGCUAUCAUUCUUCUGUAAAAGGAAAGCAGAAUUUGGUCUUUGAAAUUGAAGUUAGAUUGUCAUCGUCGCCCAGUGCAGCCUGUAUGUUGCUUGCAGUGUUGUGAUUAUGCCGUUAUGCCGCUGUGUUAACCACAUGUAUUUUGUACGGGCUCCUAGCCGGCCGGCUGGGCAUCGAGAGAAAAUCGGGGCAUCGAGAGAAAAUCGGGGCGGUUUGGACUAUGGUUCAUCUCCAACAAGGACCAACCCACGAUUGUUUAAAACAAGAAGAAUGAAGCUUCUUUUUGUACACUGUAACGUUAGAUCUAGAUGGAGAUCUGCAUCUAUCUUCAGUAGAUCGAGACUCAGUCAGGAAUAAACUGUGAAUUAAGCUGAGUGUGGAUGAAGAUAAGCCUGUCAUUGAAUCAAUGUGUCAAUUCUCAGUUUCACUUUCAGAUAUAUUUGUUUUGCAUAACUUCAGGCUUCUGCAUUUAGCACCCACCCAUUUUAACUUAUUGUCGCCCAUUUUAACUUAUUGUCAUUUUGCCUCCGACGAAGAUUCUGCUAGGAUCGAAAGCUCAGGCCCCUUUUGACUUUCUAAUUUACUCCAUUGGCAUUGGCUCUCUUUUAUUAGAUAAGCAGUUUUCAGCAGCUUCUUUUUGCCAUUUAUGAAUAUAGUUAGACUCGGUCUUAGAAAUAACAUGCUGCUCAGCAUGUUUGUCUUAUUGAGAUCUAGGAGUAGGACCUAGAUCUAGAUAGAUCUAAUUUCGAACUUGGUUAACAGAGGAUCUAGUCUUGCUUCUUAAUCCUACUUAUUUAGACUUAAUUUACUUUUAUUCAUCGAUGCUAUCUAGCCAUUCUAGGCCUACCUAAUUCAAAUCUAGUCAUCUAACUUAUACUUUCCCAACCCUCGAAACUUACCCUCAGGGCUUAUGAUCUAGGUCUGUAUAAUUUAGGCCUAGAAUAGAUCUAGGUACGUCUGGGCCUAAACGACUCCAUUUACAUGUAGGCCCUAUGAGUAUGACUGUCAGUUUUAGUGGACCAAGGACUAGAUCUAGAUCUACUCUCGGUCAAUAAUGGCAAUGAAGUUUACUUUUAGCCAGGAAUAAAAGUCAGUCAGACAUAAAACAUUUCUAAAUCGAUAUAGAUCUCGGUUUAGAACCGAAGCUUUACUUUCUAGGUCUAGAUAGAUCAAGAGUCCAUCGUUAGUCUAGAUCUAGACCUAAUUUAGAUACAUGAAUGCUGUCGCACAGCACUGAGUCUCGUUGGACUAGAUCUAUACUUUCUUACAAAUAGAUCUAGACCUAGUGCAUGAGAUUAUGAAAUUAUGUUAAAAUCAAAUUAAGAUUCGGAAAUAAAAAGAUGCAGAUUUUUUUUUUUUUUGGGGGGGGGGGCAGACGUGAAAAAAUUUAGAGAAACCUGAAAUUCAGAAAGCGAGGGCCAGAAGCGACCAAUAUUACCUAGGGCCGUUUUGUGCAUUUUCUUAAGUAAAAUUGAAGGAUGUCAUGCAAUUCUUUUUUUGAUGAAGGUUUUCACAUUUCAGCUCCCACCCAAACUUCUCCCCCUAUACAUACGGCCAUGAAAAAGAUCACUUCUUAUUAUUGCUCUCUUUUCUUUUACAAACAGGUUGCGUUUGAAGAACACGAAAAACAGUAGAGGUCUACCUAUAUGGUUAAAGAUGAUCAGUGCAUGCAUCAUUUUGCAGAUUCUCAUCCAGGAUGGUGCAGUUUUACAAUUUCCAUGGAGGUGAUUGAUGAUGAUAAAUAAUUGGUGAAGUAGGCCUAAUAGAACAGUGACUGGACCACAAAAAGAAAUACAACCUACAGCAGUUAUAUGAGACUGGUAUAACAGAUGUUUUCAUUCAAGAAAUCCAACAACUCAAAAUUGAAGAGUCUGACUGAGGAACCACUUGAUGUAGAUGGAAAAGGUUUUUUUUUUCAAGUGCAAUUAAAAAAAUAUAUAUAUAUUAUCACAACCCCAAAUUCAUGACGAAUGAAAUUUCAGGUUGAUUUUCAUUCAAACUGGUUGCAAAAGGAGAAGCUAUAAACAUACAAAUAGGAGCGGCGGAGUGAAGUUGAAAGUGGGGGGGGGGAGGCACAGAGAAAAUGCUGUAUUAUGUGAAAUUUUUAAGAAGUUGCGAGCGAGCAAAAUUUUGACAUUUUUAAAAAGAAAAUCCAAUUUUGUGAUAGAUUCGACAAAAUAUUCAGAAUGAUAUAUUUCACCCUUUUCUUUCCUUUUCUCUUUUUUUUAUUGGUCGUGAUUUUUCUUGGGGGGGGGGGCAAGAGUCCUUCAAGCCCCCCCCCCUCCAUCUGUACAAACUGCUUAUAUACCCCCACUCACAUGAAUUAUUAAACUUAAUGCACAAAGGAUUUCCUUCAUAAGUAUAUUAUAGAAAUGAGAAUAUUGUUUUCUUGUUUCAAAGGGCACUUGACAUGGUGACCAUAAAAUGGGUCCUUCUCAGGUGAAAGGGGCACAGAACAAGUUCUUGAGGAGCACUUUUCUUGGGUAAAAGGGGGCAGUGAUUCGAGAAAGAAGGCAAGUGGGCACUUUUUAACACAUGAAACGGGCCCUCAGAUGAAAGGGCACAGAACACGUUUUGGGGGGGGGGGCAUUUUGGGGUAAAAAAUUGCAUACAAGGAAGAGCACUUGGUAACACCUAAAACAGGUUCUCGUCAGGUGAAAGAACACAGUACACGUUCAUGAGGGGGCAUUUAAUUUUCUUUCAUAAAAAGGCACUUUUUCAGUGUUUCAAAAAGUAGGGGGAACUGUGCCCCCCCCCCCCCCAGGAUCGCUGCCCCAGCAUACAAAAAAACAUUUUCUUUUGGUUCAAAGUAUGGACAUACGCUUAAGAAAAAUGUAAAGCUUAAUCCUCUGAUAAUGUGAUAUUUUUUUCUGGCUAAUUAAUAAAAUUCACUACUAACCAGAAAAUUCCUUUAUGUCUUUCAUUUGUGUUCAUAUAGUAUUUGUACAGAGCUAAAAUGAAAGGGAUUUGGAAUUGGCAAAAUUCAAAAUGAGAUGGAGAUCGAGAGAGGGAAAGAGUGAUGAGAAGUGGGUUGAAAAGAGAUGAGAAAGAAAUGGAGGGGCAAAUAUGAAGAGAAUUUAGAGGGGGGGGGGUGGUAAGAGAGCAAGAAUGUGAGAAGUAGGAACAAAAGCGGUGGAAGAGAAAUAAGACGAGAUUUAUGGAAACCAGGGGCAGAUAACAAGUGGGAAAAGAAGAAGGAAAUAUAUGAAGAGUUUAGUUGCAAAAGGGGUUAGGGGCACUUGUUUUUAUUCUCACUUUAUAUUGCAAUAUUCUUAUGAGAAACUAAAUUGUCAUGAUGUACUACCCUAUCAUGUGAACAGUGAACAUAAAUUGGGUAUAAAAAAAAUCUACCUGUCUUCAAUUUUUUUCUAUAUUCUUC
This is a long non-coding RNA of Lytechinus pictus (painted urchin), 3840 nucleotides long. RefSeq lists it as uncharacterized. The record is from RefSeq and is a predicted model, not a curated record. The transcript has 3 exons. Lineage: Eukaryota; Metazoa; Echinodermata; Echinoidea; Temnopleuroida; Toxopneustidae.